GGAGUCUGGGCCGUAUCUCAGUCCCAAUGUGGCCGUUCAACCUCUCAGUCCGGCUACUGAUCGCAGCCUUGGUGAGCCGUUACCCCACCAACUAGCUAAUCAGAUAUGAGCCCAUCUUUCAGCGGAUUGCUCCUUUGGUACCUCGGGGAUGCCCCCAUGGCACAUUAUGCGGUAUUAGCAGUCGUUUCCAACUGUUGUCCCCCUCUGAAAGGCAGGUUGCUCAUACAUUACUCACCCGUCCGCCACUAAGUGUCAAAAGCAAGCUCUCAACACUCCGUUCGACUUGCAUGUGUUAGGCACGCCGCCAGCGUUCAUC
Molecule: ribosomal RNA, 316 nt
Filed under: uncultured Oscillospiraceae bacterium
Lineage: Bacteria; Bacillati; Bacillota; Clostridia; Eubacteriales; Oscillospiraceae
Description: partial 16S ribosomal RNA
Source: RNAcentral